CCUACGGGUGGCAGCAGUGGGGGAUAUUGCACAAUGGGGGGAACCCUGAUGCAGCGACGCCGCGUGGGCGAUGGAGUGCUUCGGCGCGUAAAGCCCUAUCAGCAGGGAAGAAAAUGACGGUACCUGAAGAAGAAGCCCCGGCUAACUACGUGCCAGCAGCCGCGGUAAUACGUAGGGGGCAAGCGUUAUCCGGAUUUACUGGGUGUAAAGGGAGCGCAGGCGGCGUGGCAAGCCAGGGGUGAAAUCCCGGGGCCCAACCCCGGGCCUGCAUUGGGAACUGCCAGGCUGGAGUGCCGGAGAGGCAGGCGGAAGUCCUGGUGUAGCGGUGAAAUGCGUAGAUAUUAGGAGGAACACCAGUGGCGAAGGCGGCCUGCUGGACGGUGACUGACGCUGAGGCUCGAAAGCGUGGGGAGCAAACAGGAUUAGAUACCCGAGUAGUC
This 440-nucleotide ribosomal RNA is filed under the name uncultured bacterium. RNAcentral describes it as "partial 16S ribosomal RNA". It matches the Rfam family "Bacterial small subunit ribosomal RNA", at positions 338 to 795 of the family's 1533-position model. The record is from RNAcentral.